RNAcentral lists this ribosomal RNA (253 nucleotides) under uncultured bacterium. RNAcentral describes it as "partial 16S ribosomal RNA". It matches the Rfam family "Bacterial small subunit ribosomal RNA", at positions 524 to 776 of the family's 1533-position model. The record is from RNAcentral.
UACGUAGGGGGCUAGCGUUGUCCGGAAUCAUUGGGCGUAAAGAGCGUGUAGGCGGCCCGGUAAGUCCGCUGUAAAAGUCAAAGGCUCAACCUUUGAAUGUCAGUGGAUACUGCCGGGCUAGAGUCCGGAAGAGGCGAGUGGAACUCCUGGUGUAGCGGUGGAAUGCGCAGAUAUCAGGAGGAACACCGAUGGCGAAGGCAGGUCUCUGGGCCACUACUGACGCUGAGAAGCGAAAGCAUGGGGAGCGAACAGG